AACGAACGCUGGCGGCAUGCCUAACACAUGCAAGUCGAACGAGACCUUCGGGUCUAGUGGCGCACGGGUGCGUAACGCGUGGGAACCUGCCUUUAGGUUCGGAAUAACUCAGAGAAAUUUGAGCUAAUACCGGAUGAUGUCUUCGGACCAAAGAUUUAUCGCCUUUAGAUGGGCCCGCGUUGGAUUAGCUAGUUGGUGGGGUAAAGGCCUACCAAGGCGACGAUCCAUAGCUGGUCUGAGAGGAUGAUCAGCCACACUGGGACUGAGACACGGCCCAGACUCCUACGGGAGGCAGCAGUGGGGAAUAUUGGACAAUGGGCGAAAGCCUGAUCCAGCAAUGCCGCGUGAGUGAUGAAGGCCUUAGGGUUGUAAAGCUCUUUUACCCGAGAUGAUAAUGACAGUAUCAGGAGAAUAAGCUCCGGCUAACUCC
RNAcentral lists this ribosomal RNA (430 nucleotides) under uncultured bacterium. RNAcentral describes it as "partial 16S ribosomal RNA". It matches the Rfam family "Bacterial small subunit ribosomal RNA", at positions 29 to 504 of the family's 1533-position model. The record is from RNAcentral.